This 75-nucleotide transfer RNA is filed under the name Trieres chinensis. Its description in RNAcentral is "tRNA-His (gug)". It matches the Rfam family "tRNA". From Rfam's summary of the family: Transfer RNA (tRNA) molecules are approximately 80 nucleotides in length. Their secondary structure includes four short double-helical elements and three loops (D, anti-codon, and T loops). The record is from RNAcentral. Lineage: Eukaryota; Bacillariophyta; Thalassiosirophyceae; Eupodiscales; Parodontellaceae.
GGCGGGUGUGGCCAAGUGGUUAAGGCAGCGGGUUGUGGUUCCGCCAUUCGCCGGUUCAAGUCCGGUCACUCGCCC